UCGGAUGGAUCACCGGCAGUGUGGGAGGAACCUAACAAGAGGCCUCAUCAGUUUCCAUGGCUUUAGUUAUCCUCCACAUUCAAAUGAUUCCCAGAUCAGCAUAUCAAGAGCCGUUCUCUCUCCUGACUACCUGCUGGACACUUCCCACUGGACAUCUUUCUACAUCAUGCUCUUGGACUUCUUUUUCCAUCAUGACCCCAGAUGGGAAGAAAAGAUGGUAAAGUGGAAUGAACCCUGGCACAGAAGCCAGAAGACCUGUGUUCAAAUCUUGAAUCUAGUAUUACUUAUGUAUGUAAUCUUGGGCAAGUAACAAACUCUCUGGCUCUCAUUUUCUGGCUUGUGAAGUGAAUGUACUGACCUACAUAGUUUCUACAUUCUCUUUCAACUGUAGCUCUAGCAUCA
Non-coding RNA from Phascolarctos cinereus (koala), 402 nucleotides. The record is from RefSeq and is a predicted model, not a curated record. NCBI's taxonomy places the organism in Eukaryota, Metazoa, Chordata, Mammalia, Diprotodontia, Phascolarctidae.